AGUGGCGAACGGGUGAGUAACACGUGGGGCAACCUGCCCAAAAGAGGGGGAUAACACUUGGAAACAGGUGCUAAUACCGCAUAACCAUAGUUACCGCAUGGUAACUAUGUAAAAGGUGGCUAUGCUACCGCUUUUGGAUGGGCCCGCGACGCAUUAGCUAGUUGGUGGGGUAAAGGCUUACCAAGGCAAUGAUGCGUAGCCGAACUGAGAGGUUGAUCGGCCACAUUGGGACUGAGACACGGCCCAAACUCCUACGGGAGGCAGCAG
This 267-nucleotide ribosomal RNA is filed under the name uncultured bacterium. RNAcentral describes it as "partial 16S ribosomal RNA". It matches the Rfam family "Bacterial small subunit ribosomal RNA", at positions 94 to 354 of the family's 1533-position model. The record is from RNAcentral.